UACGGGAGGCAGCAGUGAGGAAUAUUGGUCAAUGGACGAGAGUCUGAACCAGCCAAGUAGCGUGAAGGAUGAAGGUCCUACGGAUUGUAAACUUCUUUUAUAAGGGAAUAAAACCUCCCACGUGUGGGAGCUUGUAUGUACCUUAUGAAUAAGCAUCGGCUAACUCCGUGCCAGCAGCCGCGGUAAUACGGAGGAUGCGAGCGUUAUCCGGAUUUAUUGGGUUUAAAGGGAGCGCAGACGGGUCGUUAAGUCAGCUGUGAAAGUUUGGGGCUCAACCUUAAAAUUGCAGUUGAUACUGGCGUCCUUGAGUGCGGUUGAGGUGUGCGGAAUUCGUGGUGUAGCGGUGAAAUGCUUAGAUAUCACGAAGAACUCCGAUUGCGAAGGCAGCACACUAAGCCGUAACUGACGUUCAUGCUCGAAA
This 421-nucleotide ribosomal RNA is filed under the name uncultured bacterium. RNAcentral's name for it is "bacterial SSU rRNA". It matches the Rfam family "Bacterial small subunit ribosomal RNA", at positions 340 to 758 of the family's 1533-position model. The record is from RNAcentral.